This 456-nucleotide ribosomal RNA is filed under the name uncultured bacterium. Its description in RNAcentral is "bacterial SSU rRNA". It matches the Rfam family "Bacterial small subunit ribosomal RNA", at positions 340 to 786 of the family's 1533-position model. The record is from RNAcentral.
UACGGAAGGCAGCAGUGGGGAAUAUUGCACAAUGGGCGCAAGCCUGAUGCAGCCAUGCCGCGUGUAUGAAGAAGGCCUUCGGGUUGUAAAGUACUUUCAGUCGUGAGGAAGGUGUUAAGGUUAAUAACCUUAGCAAUUGACGUUAGCGACAGAAGAAGCACCGGCUAACUCCGUGCCAGCAGCCGCGGUAAUACGGAGGGUGCGAGCGUUAAUCGGAAUUACUGGGCGUAAAGGGCACGCAGGCGGUUAAUUAAGUUGGAUGUGAAAUCCCCGGGCUUAACCUGGGAAUGGCAUUCAAGACUGGUUAGCUAGAGUCUUGUAGAGGGGGUAGAAUUCCAUGUGUAGCGGUGAAAUGCGUAGAGAUGUGGAGGAAUACCGGUGGGCGAAGGCGGCCCCUGGGACAAAGACUGACGCUCAUGUGCGAAAGCGUGGGGAGCGAAACAGGGAUUAGAUACC